AUUUCAUUUGCUCUAUGUAUCAGACAGGUGAAUAGAGAGAAAGAGAAGCUCAAGAGAAGAAGAGAAAACAAGGCUAGUGAAGAAGAAGAAGAAGAACAUGGAGGAAUCAAGAGCUUGGAACCAACACCAUCAUCUUCAUCCUCAUCUCAUCUUCAACAACUUCUCCUCUUCUAUUUCUUGAGGUGGGUUCCAGUUAGAAACCCUAGAAUUUCUAGAAGAUUAAGGUUGUAGAAUCAUAGAUAAAUCAUGAAAAUCCAUGCUAUAUGAUGAAUAUUUCUCUUGAUGUUGUUGUUUUUAUGAAUAUGUGCUUUGAUGUGUUCUUAUGAUUGUUGUGAUUACAUGAUUUGUUGUGGUUGUGGAUAAGUGAUUGGUUGUGGUUAUGAACAUGUAAUCCUUGAUAUAUAUGUGUAUAUGAGAAUGUAGUAUGAUGGGUUUGUUGGAAGAAGGAGUGGGUGUUGUGUUGGAAAUGGAUUAACAGAGGAUAUGGUGUUCUGUGAAUUGGAAAUGUGGAAAUGUGUGUGGACCAAUCGAUUGGUCUCUGUCAUCAAUCGAUUGCACAAUUUUCAAUUCUAAAAAAAUUCUAAUUCGAGAGUCUUGCAUUUUUUCUUGACCACAUAAAAAAAUUGCAGGAAAAAAGAAAAUACUUCAAAUAAAGAUUUCAUGUUCGACAUUCCUCUUAAAGAAUGUCAUUGACUACACAAUAUCAAUAGUACUUUGUCUGCUUCAAUAUAAUUUUGAAUAUCUUUGUUUACCAUUUUCAAAGUGUAAUAAUAUUAUUUUUAAUGCAACGUACAAUAGAAAUCUC
RNAcentral lists this long non-coding RNA (805 nucleotides) under Lathyrus oleraceus (garden pea). RNAcentral's name for it is "Pisum sativum (pea) long non-coding RNA (PSAT_LNC011204)". Lineage: Eukaryota; Viridiplantae; Streptophyta; Magnoliopsida; Fabales; Fabaceae. The record is from RNAcentral.